This 455-nucleotide ribosomal RNA is filed under the name uncultured bacterium. Its description in RNAcentral is "bacterial SSU rRNA". It matches the Rfam family "Bacterial small subunit ribosomal RNA", at positions 340 to 786 of the family's 1533-position model. The record is from RNAcentral.
UACGGAAGGCAGCAGUGGGGAAUAUUGCACAAUGGGCGCAAGCCUGAUGCAGCCAUGCCGCGUGUAUGAAGAAGGCCUUCGGGUUGUAAAGUACUUUCAGUCGUGAGGAAGGUGUUAAGGUUAAUAACCUUAGCAAUUGACGUUAGCGACAGAAGAAGCACCGGCUAACUCCGUGCCAGCAGCCGCGGUAAUACGGAGGGUGCGAGCGUUAAUCGGAAUUACUGGGCGUAAAAGGGCACGCAGGCGGUUAAUUAAGUUGGAUGUGAAAUCCCCGGGCUUAACCUGGGAAUGGCAUUCAAGACUGGUUAGCUAGAGUCUUGUAGAGGGGGUAGAAUUCCAUGUGUAGCGGUGAAAUGCGUAGAGAUGUGGAGGAAUACCGGUGGCGAAGGCGGCCCCUGGGACAAAGGCUGACGCUCAUGUGCGAAAGCGUGGGGAGCGAAACAGGAUUAGAUACC